CAUGCGAUCACAGUUCUCGAUCAAGCCCGGAAGACUGCCGAGUAAGGGCCAGACACGUGGACCCCUUAGGGACCGGGAGAUGAAUGUGAACCAUAGUAGGUAAGCUGUGACUGCUGCUAAAAGCAACAAAGCAGUUGAUAUCUCCAUGAUGCUGAUUUAGUCUUUUUUUUUUUCCAGGAAAAUGUUUGCUCUAGGAGGUAAAAUAGAAAAUACAGAUUACCCUUUGGAAAAAAUGGCAACUUGGGCAAGAAGGUGAGCUAAAAGUUGUGGUUUUUGC
RNAcentral lists this long non-coding RNA (277 nucleotides) under Carica papaya (papaya). Its description in RNAcentral is "long non-coding RNA (CPAP_LNC011820)". Lineage: Eukaryota; Viridiplantae; Streptophyta; Magnoliopsida; Brassicales; Caricaceae. The record is from RNAcentral.